CCUACGGGUGGCAGCAGUGGGGAAUAUUGCGCAAUGGGCGAAAGCCUGACGCAGCGACGCCGCGUGAGGGAUGAAGGUUUUCGGAUCGUAAACCUCUGUCAGAAGGGAAGAAGUUGCAUGGGGCCAAUCACCUGUGCAUUGACGGUACCUUCAAAGGAAGCACCGGCUAACUACGUGCCAGCAGCCGCGGUAAUACGGAGGGUGCGAGCGUUAAUCGGAAUUACUGGGCGUAAAGCGCACGUAGGCUGUAUGUCAAGUCAAGGGGGAAAUCCCACGGCUCAACCGUGGAACUGCCUUUGAAACUGGCAAAGUGGAGUAUGUGAGAGGGCGGCGGAAUUCCUGGUGGAGGAGUGAAAGCCGUAGAUAUCAGGAGGAACAUCAGUGGCGAAGGCGGCCGCAUGGCACAAAACUGACGCUGAGGUGCGAAAGCGUGGGUAGCAAACAGGAGUAGAUACACCAGUAGUC
Molecule: ribosomal RNA, 465 nt
Filed under: uncultured bacterium
Lineage: Bacteria
Description: partial 16S ribosomal RNA
Rfam family: Bacterial small subunit ribosomal RNA
Source: RNAcentral